This 504-nucleotide ribosomal RNA is filed under the name uncultured bacterium. RNAcentral describes it as "bacterial SSU rRNA". It matches the Rfam family "Bacterial small subunit ribosomal RNA", at positions 16 to 507 of the family's 1533-position model. The record is from RNAcentral.
AUCAUGGCUCAGGAUGAACGCUAGCUACAGGCUUAACACAUGCAAGUCGAGGGGAAACGAUAGAGAAAGCUUGCUUUUUCUAGGCGUCGACCGGCGCACGGGUGAGUAACGCGUAUCCAACCUGCCCAUCACUUGGGGAUAACCUUGCGAAAGUAAGACUAAUACCCAAUGACGUCUCUAGAAGACAUCUGAAAGAGAUUAAAGAUUUAUCGGUGAUGGAUGGGGAUGCGUCUGAUUAGCUUGUUGGCGGGGUAACGGCCCACCAAGGCGACGAUCAGUAGGGGUUCUGAGAGGAAGGUCCCCCACAUUGGAACUGAGACACGGUCCAAACUCCUACGGGAGGCAGCAGUGAGGAAUAUUGGUCAAUGGACGAGAGUCUGAACCAGCCAAGUAGCGUGCAGGAUGACGGCCCUAUGGGUUGUAAACUGCUUUUAUAAGGGAAUAAACCCUCCCACGUGUGGGAGCUUGUAUGUACCUUGUGAAUAAGCAUCGGCUAACUCCGUG